Long non-coding RNA from Danio aesculapii, 1491 nucleotides. RefSeq lists it as uncharacterized. The transcript is spliced from 2 exons. Lineage: Eukaryota; Metazoa; Chordata; Actinopteri; Cypriniformes; Danionidae. The record is from RefSeq and is a predicted model, not a curated record.
UGAAUCAGGAGACGGAUGCUAAACGCAGCUCUGAGACUUUAUUCGGAAGAAAAGAUGAUCAAUUAUCGGUGCUGUAGAUACUGAGAAAUAUGGGGAAAAUCCACUGGAGGAGACACAGAAGAGGAUGAGGAGACUCCAUCGUAUCUCUACCAGACGUCAUCUAGAGCUAAUCAGUGUGAUUUUUGUGGAUGACCCAGUGCUCAGACUACCAGUUCUUCAGUUUUCCAGCAUAGUUUUCAGAUUUCAACCUUUUCCAGCAGAUUGUAGAUUCAUCUAUUCAUGUUAAAGAUGAUUAAACACAACUAUUAAAAAAAAAUGUUGAAACCCUCACCAACGCUCCAGAAGGAAACACAAUGCAUUAAAAAAAGCCAGGGGGUGAAAACUUUUAACCAGAAUAAUGUUGUUCACAAUUGUUCUUAUUUUACUAAUUCCAGAAGUAAAAGAUACAUGUUCAGAAGACAAAUUAGGUACAAUUUACCUUAAAUCUUCAAUUGCAAAAGUUUUCACCCCCCUUCCCCUGGCUCAUGCAUUGAGUUUCUGACUUACUUGAUUCUGUAUUAUUGUUACUUGUGUUUGUUCUUUAUUUAUUAGACCUUGAGUCUGGAAAUAAAGUCAUAUAUAUAUAUAUAUACAGUUGAACUCAGAAUUAUUUGCCCUCCUGUUAAUUGUAAUACUUUUAGAUUUUUCCCUGAUUCCCUGAUACUUCCCUGAUUUAAGUUUAAUGAAGAGAAGAUUUUCUCAACACAUUUCUAAACAUAACAGUUUUAAUAACUCAUCUCUAAUCACUGAUUUAUUUUAUACAUCCAUAAUAUUAGACUAGAUAUUCUUCAAGACACUAGUAUUCAGCUUAAAGUGACAUUUAAAGGCUUCACUAGGGUAAUUAGGGUAAAGUUAGAGUAAUUAGGCAAGUCAUUGUAUAACAGUGGUUUGCUCUGGAGACGAUCCAAAACUAAUAUUGCUUAAAGGGGCUAAUAAUAUUGACCUUAAAACGGCUUUAACACAAUUAAAACUGGUUUUAUUUAAGCCCAAAUAAAACAAAUAAGACUUUCUCUAGUAAUAUUAUAGAAUAUACUGUGAAAAAGUCCUGAAUCUGUUCAAUAUCAUUUGGGAGACAUGGUAUAAAGGUGAAUAAUUUUGACUUCAACUGUGUAUAUAUUGUACUGAAAAACACUCAACCAUCACAAAAUAAAAAUAUUUAAAAAACCCCAUCAGGAUUGGACCACCAGUGUUUAUUUUCCCUGUUUCAGCCUCCUUCAUAAUUCUACCAGACGUCAUCUAGAGCUCAGGAUAAGUGUGAGUUGUGGAGUUUUUGUGGACGCCCGUCCCGCCUGCCCAGUGUUCAGACUACCUGUUCAGGAAUUAGCGUUUGUACAGUAGUCUGCACAUUGGUUAGGCUGGAUGGGGAUGCUCGAGGUGGACCGCAGGAGGAUGCGAAUCAUCUGUUCUGCAUGCAAUCAUGUCAUAUAUCAAUAAAACCGACAAUAUUAAUAA